CGGCAGGUCUUAUUCGACCAGCUCCCAUGAACUUCCCCAGGGUAGGAAUACAGCAAGGAUAAAUGGUUGUAGCGGUGCGCUUUAAGUAGCCUGCCACUU
RNAcentral lists this signal recognition particle RNA (99 nucleotides) under Sediminibacterium sp. RNAcentral's name for it is "signal recognition particle sRNA small type". It matches the Rfam family "Bacteroidales small SRP", at positions 9 to 102 of the family's 107-position model. From Rfam's summary of the family: The non-coding component of the signal recognition particle in Bacteroides The record is from RNAcentral. Lineage: Bacteria; Pseudomonadati; Bacteroidota; Chitinophagia; Chitinophagales; Chitinophagaceae.